AACGAGCAAAAUUUGAUAGAGUCAUACAACAAAAUAUUUUCAUAGCAAUGGACAUGAAUGAACCUUACCUAAAUCAUAACUCUUAAAAAAAAAUCGGACUUCUGCUCAAGAUGGUGGUGCCACGGAGAGCAGAGGCGAGGUGAAAAAAACAGGACCUCAGGGGCCUCUCUGUCAGGCAACAUAACAUGGCAGCAGUGUGCACAUACAUUCCAACGAAUGUUUAAAAAAGGCCCCUCAAAUGUUGACUGAACGCGAUGUCUAAGAAGCAGAAAAAGGAAAGGGCCUGCCACGGAGACCCAAUCAGUCUGCAAGGAUUGCGAACGCCCCAUGUGGUGCAACGGUGGGUCCCCGCCCUUUCCGCCAGGUUGCUCCAGGGACCAGGCAGCAGGAGCUUCUUUUCCAUGUCACAACUGUGAGUAAAGGUGGGCAGUGGGAGAAGUACAAAAUUAAAUUUUUAAAAGAAAACAAAAUAAAUGAGGGCAGUCUUUCUGCCAGCACCUGAAAUCUGGCCUCAAGUGGGAGCUGGCUUGAGAAUUGCCCUUCCGGAAUCUGCUGAAGAGUGGAAUGGGGGUGGGGGAGGUCGAGUUACAUCAAGGUUGUAGAAAGGGCGAAAGAGUGGUGCUUUUACUCUCACAACAAGAAAAUUGGAGAUAUUCUUCUUGGAUUCAACAUCUGUGUAGUCUGUUAAAUUCAAAGGGGCGUGGCCAAGCCUUUGGCUGCAUACUUGGAAUAGCAUGAAAUGAGGGAAACAGAGAGAGAAUACUAUUGAAACUGUGUGUUCCCAUGGUCCUACGGUUACAGACACAGUAGGUAUUGCAUAUAUUUCCAAAACUCCUUCCUUACCUUAAAAUUUCCUCUCGUCUGCUCUCCCCAGCUUCCCCCCCACCGCCCCAGAAUUUCCAAAUCAUCAAAUAGCAAGGAUUAAAGUAAACUAGAGACAAGGGAAGAUGCAAUAGGUCAAGAACACUGGCAAUAAAAGAUACUAUAAAGAGAAGAAAUGAUGGAGU
This 1007-nucleotide long non-coding RNA is filed under the name Sus scrofa (pig). RNAcentral describes it as "lncRNA (ENSSSCG00055029758.1)". Lineage: Eukaryota; Metazoa; Chordata; Mammalia; Artiodactyla; Suidae. The record is from RNAcentral.